ACACAAGCUAUCGCUGACUGCCGGUGCAUGUUGGAAAUGGGCCACAGGGCUGGGCAUGAUAUGAGCUGCCUGGACAUUGGAGGGGGCUUCCCCGGAAUGGAGGGCUCCGGGCCCAAGUUUGAGGAGGUUUUAGCACCUCUUACGAAUGAGUGUCUGAGCAGCCAAAAAAUAAAUAAUGAAUCAUCCAGGCAAAGGGGAAGAAAAAUGGACUUGGCCAGAGAUGGGGAAGAACGUACGCAAAAAGGUGAGAUGAGAGGGAGCCUAGGUAAUAUGACUUAUUACAAGCAGAGCAGCUCUGCGGAG
RNAcentral lists this long non-coding RNA (303 nucleotides) under Homo sapiens (human). RNAcentral's name for it is "non-protein coding LINC01226:4". Lineage: Eukaryota; Metazoa; Chordata; Mammalia; Primates; Hominidae. The record is from RNAcentral.